RNAcentral lists this ribosomal RNA (401 nucleotides) under uncultured bacterium. RNAcentral's name for it is "bacterial SSU rRNA". It matches the Rfam family "Bacterial small subunit ribosomal RNA", at positions 975 to 1375 of the family's 1533-position model. The record is from RNAcentral.
CUACUCUUGACAUCCACAGAAUUCGGCAGAGAUGCCUUAGUGCCUUCGGGAACUGUGAGACAGGUGCUGCAUGGCUGUCGUCAGCUCGUGUUGUGAAAUGUUGGGUUAAGUCCCGCAACGAGCGCAACCCUUGUCCUUAGUUACCAGCACGUUAUGGUGGGCACUCUAAGGAGACUGCCGGUGACAAACCGGAGGAAGGUGGGGAUGACGUCAAGUCAUCAUGGCCCUUACGGCCUGGGCUACACACGUGCUACAAUGGUCGGUACAGAGGGUUGCCAAGCCGCGAGGUGGAGCUAAUCCCAGAAAACCGAUCGUAGUCCGGAUCGCAGUCUGCAACUCGACUGCGUGAAGUCGGAAUCGCUAGUAAUCGCGAAUCAGAAUGUCGCGGUGAAUACGUUCCC